CGGCGGACGGGUGAGUAACGCGUGGGUAACCUGCCUCAUACAGGGGGAUAACAGUUAGAAAUGACUGCUAAUACCGCAUAAGACCACGGUACCGCAUGGUACAGUGGUAAAAACUCCGGUGGUAUGAGAUGGACCCGCGUCUGAUUAGGUAGUUGGUGGGGUAACGGCCUACCAAGCCGACGAUCAGUAGCCGACCUGAGGGGGUGAUCGGCCACAUUGGGACUGAGACACGGCCCAG
This 238-nucleotide ribosomal RNA is filed under the name uncultured bacterium. RNAcentral's name for it is "partial 16S ribosomal RNA". It matches the Rfam family "Bacterial small subunit ribosomal RNA", at positions 96 to 334 of the family's 1533-position model. The record is from RNAcentral.